This is a long non-coding RNA of Ailuropoda melanoleuca (giant panda), 2107 nucleotides long. RefSeq lists it as uncharacterized. The record is from RefSeq and is a predicted model, not a curated record. The transcript has 3 exons. NCBI's taxonomy places the organism in Eukaryota, Metazoa, Chordata, Mammalia, Carnivora, Ursidae.
UUCAAGCCGCUGCCUGGUUCCAGAGCGCGUACUCCCCCUGCUCCACAAACAGACAAGCAAUCUAAGCCCCAGAGAGGCUGAGAAUUUUCCCAAGGCCACACAGUAAAGCAGCAGAGACUCAGGACAAGAAUACGCAAGGCCUUGCUUCCCAACGGGCCACCCAGCAGGUACAAAUCUCCAGGAUGUGCCUUUUUGAGCCUAUGGUGUAGGUGGAGAUUCAGAAAAAUAAAUAACUACUUAGGAGUCGUGAACACAGAACAGAAACCAUUCGGGAGCAGGAGAACGACCACAGAAGCUGUAAAAUGAGGACUAGGCUGUGGAGCUCUGCGAUGCUAUUGUGGAAUGCAUUUCCCCGCACCGCCCUGUCAAAGGAAAACUCGGGCCAUAUUUCCUGCACUAUGAGCCUCGUCUCUGAAAUGGCCCAAAUCUCAUUUUAACGAAUACACAUGAUUGAGUUUGUCUAACUAGAGGUUUAACGACCUGUAAAAUGUAUCACGAGCACCUGGCAACUCUCAGAACUCUCAGCACCUGCACCUCACAACGCAAGGCUCGGGAUUGUGGGAUGUUCAGCUUGGGCUUAUUUAGACGGCAAAGUCCAGUGUUUGGCAGAAAGAAGCAUUUUGCACAAACAUGAGGUCCAUGUAUUGCUAUAACUGAGCGCCAUCAAAUAGCAUGACUGCAGCCGAUGGCAUGCUCUUGUUGACUGAUUCAUUCAUUCAUCCAAUAACUAUUUAUUGAGCACCACUGUGUGCGAGGCUAGGGAGCUUGGUAUUUGGAAGAACAAUGACAACGCCAGUCAAACUACUGCGUGCUUGCUGUGUGCCCUGUGGUGGACUAAGAACUUGGCAUGGCUUCUUUUUACUAAUUUCACCACAAUCUGACAAGGUCAGUAUUACUGUUAUCACCACCAUGUUGCAGAGGAGAAAGACUAAUCAGCCUCGAUUCCAGAUUCCCAAGGAAGAAUCUGAUUGGCCCAGCGUGGGUCAGGUGUCCACCUCUGUUCACAGAUGAGGUGAAGAGGGGGCAGUUGUGGUGCAUCGUUCCAAGCUGGCUACCGUCCGGCAGAAGGCAGUUCUCAGAGGAGUGUGGUCUCCAGGAGCAGCCACCUUCUUCCACGUAUGCUGGUCUGCAGACAGUGGUUGUGGGGAGAGAUGAAGGGACGAUGUCCUCAGUUCUGGGGCCCACCUUGGGAGGAUUCACUGUGGCUUCUGCUAUUGAAUUACACAGGACAUCCCUUGUCCUUAGGAUAAAUUCUCCCUUUUUGAUCAAACUUCUCUGAAGGGGUUUGUGUUACUUAUGACCAAGAGGGCACUGGGUGAGCCGAUCUUGAAAUAACAGAUCUCUGAGUAUUUCCGGGCCUGCCCUGAAUUCUGGCGUCUCCACCUUUGCGGUAAUGUGCCCUGCAGUGCAGCAAACCGAGCCAGAGGAGGAAUGAAGACAGUCCAUGCCAGUCGGGGUGGUUGCAUGGCCCUUGCCAGGGACUGGUGUGCGUGUUAGCCGGCGGCUCAGACCAGGCUGACAGGCCUGCGGAACGUUGAAGAUAUUUUGGCAGUGUCACCUAGAACAUCUCUAGCUAUCAUGGGACCCCUCGCCAGAGGCUUUCCCACCUUCUGAGGGUGGCGGAACAGAAGGUUGGAAAGGAAGCCCCUAUGUCCGUAAUGAUGGCACUGAGCCUUCAAAUUAGCCAUCUUUGGAACUGACCUACAUUAGGGUUCUCAUAAAUAAAGCCCUUGUUGCUUAGUCAUGCAGCCCAAAGUGUCCCAGUUGAUAUAAUAGUCUGUCCCAUAUAGAAAUAUGGGCUCAUACAUCCAAGGAGGCAACAUACAAGUAAUUGAUUGUAGCACCACUUACAAUAACCAGACGUUAGGAAUCGCCUGAACAUGCCUCCAUAGGAACCUGGUGAAAUAAGCUAUGGUCUAUUCAGUUGUUUAUUAAACUACUGAAUUCUAGUCAAUCAUUAGAGACAAAAAAGUAAAUUUAUAUGCACUGAUUGUACGAUGCAAAGAUCCCCGAGAGUAUUCUUAACUUUUUUAGAAGUUGCAAAAUAGGGGCGCCUGGGUGGCACAGCGGUUGGGCGUCUGCCUUCGGCCCAGGGCGUGAUCCUGGC